CGUGUCUUAAAAAUUAAUACAGUAGAUACAAAGAAAUUUGGGGAAGGGGGGAGUAAAACAUUGGAAAGAGAAACGUAUUUUCCGUUUAUUCAACAUUAAAAAUUUAGGUUAUAUAACUAACAUCUUCCUCGGUUUAUCUUUCUCUAUUAAAGCAUAUCAUUGAUGGAAAGAAAUUCAAAAGCAAUUAAUCUAAACUCAAUAACCCUUCCGGUUAUGAUUUUUUUUUCAUACAACGAUUUGAAAGUACUCAAUUUGUCAAAG
RNAcentral lists this long non-coding RNA (261 nucleotides) under Mytilus galloprovincialis (Mediterranean mussel). Lineage: Eukaryota; Metazoa; Mollusca; Bivalvia; Mytilida; Mytilidae. The record is from RNAcentral.